AAAGAAUUAGUUAAAUAUAACAUUAGAAUGUCAAACUAAAAUUAUUAGUCAAAGCUAAUAUUCUUUU
This 67-nucleotide transfer RNA is filed under the name Incoltorrida madagassica. Its description in RNAcentral is "tRNA-Asp". It matches the Rfam family "tRNA". From Rfam's summary of the family: Transfer RNA (tRNA) molecules are approximately 80 nucleotides in length. Their secondary structure includes four short double-helical elements and three loops (D, anti-codon, and T loops). Lineage: Eukaryota; Metazoa; Arthropoda; Insecta; Coleoptera; Torridincolidae. The record is from RNAcentral.